This is a long non-coding RNA of Delphinapterus leucas (beluga whale), 226 nucleotides long. RefSeq lists it as uncharacterized. Lineage: Eukaryota; Metazoa; Chordata; Mammalia; Artiodactyla; Monodontidae. The record is from RefSeq and is a predicted model, not a curated record.
GGUGAGACACAGCCACCUCCGCCUCUACAGGAGACCCUCCAGCACUAGCAGGAUCGAUCCCCAAAAGUGGACUCCUUGGGUUAAAAGGCAGCAAGAAAGACCACAGCAGCCAUGACAUGCAGGGGCUGGCCUGGCGUCACAGCGGCGCCCUGAUGUCCUCCUGUGGAACACAGGGUUCGAGUCCUUGUCCGGGAAGAUCCCACAUGCUGCGGAGCAACUAAGCCUG